AUUGAACGCUGGCGGCAUGCCUUACACAUGCAAGUCGAACGGUAACGGGCCUUCGGGUGCCGACGAGUGGCGAACGGGUGAGUAAUACAUCGGAACGUGCCCGAUCGCGGGGGAUAACGAGGCGAAAGCUUUGCUAAUACCGCAUACGAUCUACGGAUGAAAGCAGGGGACCGCAAGGCCUUGCGCGGACGGAGCGGCCGAUGGCAGAUUAGGUAGUUGGUGGGAUAAAAGCUUACCAAGCCGACGAUCUGUAGCUGGUCUGAGAGGAUGAUCAGCCACACUGGGACUGAGACACGGCCCAGACUCCUACGGGAGGCAGCAGUGGGGAAUUUUGGACAAUGGGCGCAAGCCUGAUCCAGCCAUGCCGCGUGCAGGAUGAAGGCCUUCGGGCUGUAAACUGCUUUUGUACGGAACGAAAAGCCUUCUUUUAAUACAGGAGGGUCAUGACGGUACCGUAAGAAUAAGCACCGGCUAACUACGUG
RNAcentral lists this ribosomal RNA (482 nucleotides) under uncultured bacterium. RNAcentral describes it as "partial 16S ribosomal RNA". It matches the Rfam family "Bacterial small subunit ribosomal RNA", at positions 30 to 507 of the family's 1533-position model. The record is from RNAcentral.